UACGUAGGUGGCAAGCGUUGUCCGGAUUUACUGGGCGUAAAGAGCGCGCAGGCGGUCGUUCAAGUCGCGUGUGAAAGCCCCCGGCUCAACUGGGGAGGGUCACGCGAUACUGAUCGACUCGAAGGCAGGAGAGGGUAGUGGGAAUUCCCGGUGUAGUGGUGAAAUGCGUAGAUAUCGGGAGGAACACCAGUGGCGAAGGCGACUACCUGGCCUGUUCUUGACGCUGAGGCGCGAAAGCUAGGGGAGCAAACGGGG
This 255-nucleotide ribosomal RNA is filed under the name uncultured bacterium. Its description in RNAcentral is "partial 16S ribosomal RNA". It matches the Rfam family "Bacterial small subunit ribosomal RNA", at positions 524 to 777 of the family's 1533-position model. The record is from RNAcentral.